GGUGAUGUGGUUACAUUUGACACAACAUACUUAACCAACAAAUACGAAAUGCCAUUUGCUCCUUUUGUGGGAGUAAACCAUCAUGGUCAAUCAAUUCUUUUAGGGGCGGCAUUAAUUUCAAGUGAGGAUACGGAGUCAUUUGUUUGGUUGUUUGAGGCAUGGUUGAAAUGCAUGAAGGGCCGUGCGCCAAGGGCAAUUAUUACAGAUCAAGAUAGGGCCAUGAAAAAUGCUAUUAAGAAGGUGUUUCCGAAUGCUCGUCAUAGAUUUUGUUUAUGGCAUAUACUGAAAAAACUUCCGGAAAAGUUUGGAUCACAUUUACAAUACUAUGCCAUUAAGAGUGCCAUAAGAAAUUGUGUGUAUAAUUCUCAUACAUGUGACGAGUUUGAUUCAUGUUGGCAGAGUAUGCUUGAGUGUUAUAAUCUAGAGGAGAAUGCAUGGCUGCGUGGUUUAUACAGUGAAAGGACUUUUUGGGUACCAACAUAUUUGAAUGAUGUAUUUUGGGCCGGCAUGACUACCACACAACGUAGUGAGAGUAUGAAUGCCUUUUUUGAUGGUUAUGUGCAAUCGUCCACCUCAUUGAAGGAAUUUGUGGAUCAAUACGAUAACGCUUUGCGCAGGAAGGUUGAGGUUGAGAAUGUUGCUGAUUUCGAUUCCUUCAAUACCACCAUUUCAUGUGUGAGCCAUUGGCCCUUUGAGAAGCAAUUCCAAAAAAUUUACACCCAUGCAAAGUUUAGAGAAGUUCAGAAGGAGAUUUCGUCGAUUAUGUAUUGUGGUUCUUCUCUUUUAAAAAGUGAAUGUGGAAUUCGUACCUAUCAGGUGAUCGAACAGGUAGAAAUUAAUGAAUCCUAUAGGAAAAAAAUCGUUUUUAAUGUUUGCUACAAUGGCCCUGUAUGUGAAGUGAAUUGUAGUUGCCGUUUGUUUGAAUCAAGAGGAAUUUUGUGCAAACAUGCCAUAUCCGUGUUGACUACAUUUGAAGAUGUCGAUUUCUUGCCCGAAAAGUAUUUUCUAAAUCGAUGGAGGAAGGAUUUGAAGCGGCCAUAUAAGUUAAUCAAGAGUAGUUAUGAUCCUUUGAGUGGCAACCCUACUGCAGAUCGAUAUGCUGAACUGAGCAACAAUGUGCUGAAGUUGGCCGCUAUUGCAGCACCAAACGUGGACCAUUGCAUGGAAUUGCAAAAGUAUGUUGAUAUGCUAAUUAAGAAAUUUAGCGGUCCAAGCUGUGAACAAAGUCAACCUUCCCAAUCACUCCCAAGUGCAAAAGAUCUCCCAAGUGCACCUAUGAUCGAUAAUGGAGCCAUGGAUUGUAUGGAGGUGGAGGUGUGUAGUCCUCUUGUGGCUCGAACUAAAGGCGCGCGACCAUCAAUCAGAAAAGUGUCUGUGGUUGAAAAAGUGGUGAGAAAAAAGUCGUCAAAAGGAGGAAAUAAGAAACAGAGCAACGCAAAUCCCGAGCAGCGAGGGAAAAGAAAGAAGACAUGCCAAAGAUCGCUAGUAGAUGAACUGGACACAAGUGAAGAUCAGUUGCCUUUUUCAACUGAUGUGCAGCAUGACCAAGUGAUUGAAACACAACAUAGUGUACUUACACAGACGUUUGGGAAUUCACAAUCGUCAUGUAUUUUCGAAGGAGAUUCUAUAUACUUGUCGUAAGUGGGCUCGGCUUCAUAUCCUCAGACAACCAAUUUUCUUGAUCCUGCUUUUGUUUCGGGUGAUCCCAUCUAUAAUGUGCAAAGCCAGUGCUCAUCAAAUUCUACAUUUUCUGUUUCCUUUAAGCAGUCAUCCAUUGAGCUGCAAGAAGGACCAACCAAACAACAAGAGGAACGUGGUCGUGCUUUUGAAUGAAGAGAGGGGCUUUUAUCCAAUCGAUCAGAGCUGUUGAAGACUAGUUUUGUAUGAUAUAUGUGACCAAUCGAGUGUGCAAUAUGUAUAUAUAUGCUGGAGUACUAACCUUAAAUAAUGGAGACUUCCAGUAGUUUUGUGUAUCUUUCUUGUCUCCUUUUGUUAGAUUGUGAAACUGUUAUUGUAAUGGUGAGAUUUUGGCCGAUGAGAAAUA
Alnus glutinosa is the source of this 2044-nucleotide RNA transcript. It is a transcript of the gene named protein FAR-RED IMPAIRED RESPONSE 1-like, with no coding region annotated. The transcript has 5 exons. The record is from RefSeq and is a predicted model, not a curated record. Lineage: Eukaryota; Viridiplantae; Streptophyta; Magnoliopsida; Fagales; Betulaceae.